UACGGGGGGAGCAAGCGUUGUUCGGAUUUACUGGGCGUAAAGGGCGCGUAGGCGGUCAGCACAAGUCAGUUGUGAAAUCUCCGGGCUUAACUCGGAAAGGUCAACUGAUACUGUGCGACUAGAGUGCGGAAGGGGCAACUGGAAUUCUCGGUGUAGCGGUGAAAUGCGUAGAUAUCGAGAGGAACACCUGCGGCGAAGGCGGGUUGCUGGGCCGACACUGACGCUGAUGAGCGAAAGCGUGGGGAGCAAACAGG
Molecule: ribosomal RNA, 254 nt
Filed under: uncultured bacterium
Lineage: Bacteria
Description: partial 16S ribosomal RNA
Rfam family: Bacterial small subunit ribosomal RNA
Source: RNAcentral